Molecule: long non-coding RNA, 575 nt
Organism: Ornithodoros turicata
Lineage: Eukaryota; Metazoa; Arthropoda; Arachnida; Ixodida; Argasidae
Exons: 3
Source: RefSeq, a predicted model, not a curated record
UUUGUGUCGCUCGGUGCUGUUCCCUUCGUUGGCAGGUUUGCAGUUAUGUUCCUGUUUAUUCAAUGUGAGAACGAAUCGGAAAAGCACAUCGUCGAGCACAAUAUCAUUGUGAACUUCCACGCAAUAGACUACUACGACAAACGAAACGUUUUCGGGGCAUUUUGGAAUGCGACGAGACGACACAUGUUACACGACAGGUAAGGUGGUUUCGACAGAUCAUUUUCAAUAAGUUUUCUUACUUCUUUGUCGUAAAAACAUUCCAGAAACAAGGCAGGAUGAAUGAGCGGCGUUGAAGGAGAUGUAAAGUGGAUCACGAGCCACUUGCAGAAGAAAAAAAGGCAAGGCAGGGCAAACAAACACUGCACGAAGGCAUGCAGAAGAAGGCACUGUUUCUGUCCCUGGAUUCGGCGAAAAUCAGUGAACAAAGACAACGAGAGUUCGAAGACAUGGGACGUUUGCAGACAGAAGUGGCAACGCUGGCGCAUAUUAAUCGUAUCCUGCAAAAGGCCAUCGCUUCAAAAGUUUUUCAAAGUGGCUACAAGAGGCCCCAUACAUCCUGCUACAGUGAACAGUGC